Molecule: long non-coding RNA, 455 nt
Filed under: Gossypium raimondii (Peruvian cotton)
Lineage: Eukaryota; Viridiplantae; Streptophyta; Magnoliopsida; Malvales; Malvaceae
Description: long non-coding RNA (GRAI_LNC010817)
Source: RNAcentral
AUUUAUUGGGUGUUGGGGUAAAGUUACAUUAUUAUAAAAGAGGAAUAUAAGUUAAAAUUUUGAAGAUAAUAUUCAAAGGGACACUCACGAACCUGAAACAAAAAUAGUAAAAAUUGACAUGAACAAUACGAAAAAAGGAUAAAAGAAAGAAAUCAAAGGAAAAAAAAAGAGAAAUGUAACGCCCCAAAAAUAUGAAUUUCUUAUUUGGUAGAUUAUAUCAUAAUUAAGUACCUAUUUUAGUCGUUAAGGGUUUUGAUUGUAUAUUUUAGUCGUUAAGUGGUAAUUUUGUUUUUUUGUUUUUUUAAAAGAAGAGAGAAAACCUCCCCACGUUUCUUCUCCCUUACCCACACUUCACGCUGCCACUUCCAUUCCCUACUGUUGCAUCAUGUUCCUUUCUUUUCUAUUUUCCAUUCUUUUGUUCUUUACUGGUCAUUCUCAAAUUGGGCUGCCAUUGC